Molecule: long non-coding RNA, 436 nt
Organism: Lates calcarifer (barramundi perch)
Lineage: Eukaryota; Metazoa; Chordata; Actinopteri; Centropomidae
Exons: 3
Source: RefSeq, a predicted model, not a curated record
GGCGGGGUCCUCAGAGCCGCCAUGUUGGUACAUAAGUUGUUGCCCCGCGUGGCGUCGAUGAGCCGCACUGCGGUAGAGACAGGAGGACCGAGGUGAAAACAGUUUAAUAGUUGUUGAAGUUGAGCUAGUUACACGGUGACAGUGACACAGCAUCUCUUCAGAAGCCACGAGACCACCGGAAGUACCGGUUUCUUCCCGGCGAGCUCGCGUGUUAGCAACAAAGUCACUGUUAUGAGAAGCUUCGGCUUGUGAACGUCAGGUGUGUCCAGGUCUUUUUAUUGACUGAGAAGAUCCAGUGGUGAAGGUCCGACUAGCCAGAACCUGGAUUCACAUUUCCACUGAAACAUCCCGAUGAGCUGCUUCUGCUUUGUGUUUCCACUCUGUGUUUGAUUAGGUGAGGGGGAGGAAGAGGAGGAGGUGGAGGAAGAGGAGGAUG